UGGGGAAUAUUGCACAAUGGGCGCAAGCCUGAUGCAGCGACGCCGCGUGGGGGAUGACGGCCUUCGGGUUGUAAACCUCUUUCAGCAUCGACGAAGCCGGAAGGUGACGGUAGGUGCAGAAGAAGCGCCGGCCAACUACGUGCCAGCAGCCGCGGUAAGACGUAGGGCGCGAGCGUUGUCCGGAUUUAUUGGGCGUAAAGAGCUCGUAGGCGGCUUGUCGCGUCGGCUGUGAAAACCCGCGGCUCAACCGUGGGCGGGCAGCUGAUACGGGCAGGCUGGAGUUCGGUAGGGGAGACUGGAAUUCCUGGUGUAGCGGUGAAAUGCGCAGAUAUCAGGAGGAACACCGGUGGCGAAGGCGGGUCUCUGGGCCGAUACUGACGCUGAGGAGCGAAAGCGUGGGGAGCGAACAG
This 410-nucleotide ribosomal RNA is filed under the name uncultured bacterium. Its description in RNAcentral is "bacterial SSU rRNA". It matches the Rfam family "Bacterial small subunit ribosomal RNA", at positions 355 to 775 of the family's 1533-position model. The record is from RNAcentral.